Molecule: non-coding RNA, 87 nt
Organism: Gossypium hirsutum (cotton)
Lineage: Eukaryota; Viridiplantae; Streptophyta; Magnoliopsida; Malvales; Malvaceae
Source: Rfam
CACGUCAGUGCGCUUUGCUGACGUGGCAACAAAUCGCCCCAUUGUGGACGUGAUUUGUUGCCACGUCAGCAAAGCGCGCUGACGUGG